GUUCCGUUAGCUCAGUUGGAUAGAGCAACCGCCUUCUAAGCGGUAGGUCACUGGUUCGAAUCCAGUACGGAGCACCA
This 77-nucleotide transfer RNA is filed under the name Marinomonas primoryensis. RNAcentral's name for it is "tRNA-Arg". It matches the Rfam family "tRNA". From Rfam's summary of the family: Transfer RNA (tRNA) molecules are approximately 80 nucleotides in length. Their secondary structure includes four short double-helical elements and three loops (D, anti-codon, and T loops). Further hydrogen bonds mediate the characteristic L-shaped molecular structure. tRNAs have two regions of fundamental functional importance: the anti-codon, which is responsible for specific mRNA codon recognition, and the 3' end, to which the tRNAs corresponding amino acid is attached (by aminoacyl-tRNA synthetases). tRNAs cope with the degeneracy of the genetic code in two manners: having more than one tRNA (with a specific anti-codon) for a particular amino acid; and 'wobble' base-pairing, i.e. permitting non-standard base-pairing at the 3rd anti-codon position. RNAcentral also lists the same sequence under 34 other names. Lineage: Bacteria; Pseudomonadati; Pseudomonadota; Gammaproteobacteria; Oceanospirillales; Oceanospirillaceae. The record is from RNAcentral.